Molecule: long non-coding RNA, 370 nt
Organism: Bos indicus x Bos taurus (hybrid cattle)
Lineage: Eukaryota; Metazoa; Chordata; Mammalia; Artiodactyla; Bovidae
Source: Ensembl
GGGAGAUACACGUCGCCAAGUGCUAUUAGCUCCUCCGGAGGUUGCGAGGGACAAAAGCCGAGAGUGGGACUCGGGGGAAAACAGAGGCGUGUAUUCUUAACGUUGCUGAUGGUGAGGAGCCAUCCUCCCGUGCAUGGGGGCUCCCACCGUACAUCUGGCACCCACCUCACAGGUGAACCUUCCCGCUCCUAAAUGAUGACUGAUUCAUCCGAGAAGGAAAAGAUCUAUGUGGAGAACAGAAUGUCCUGGGAUCAUUUUUUCUUCUACUUUUCUGUCUGAUCUCUUCCUUGCCAAAUUCUGAGUCUAUGGAAAAAUUGACCCAAUCCUUUGUGUGUCGUUAAUAAAAUUAUGAUUUAAGUUUUGUCCCCCA